AUACGUAGGUGGCGAGCGUUAUCCGGAUUUACUGGGUGUAAAGGGCGCGUAGGCGGGGGUGCAAGUCAGAUGUGAAAUCUAUGGGCUCAACUCAUAAACUGCAUUUGAAACUGUACUUCUUGAGUACUGGAGAGGUAGACGGAAUUCCUUGUGUAGCGGUGAAAUGCGUAGAUAUAAGGAAGAACACCAGUGGCGAAGGCGGUCUACUGGACAGCAACUGACGCUGAGGCGCGAAAGCGUGGGGAGCAAACAGGAUUAGAUACCCUGGUAGUCCACGCUGUAAACGAUGAAUACUAGGUGUGGGGGGACUGACCCCUUCCGUGCCGCAGUUAACACAAUAAGUAUUCCACCUGGGGAGUACGGCCGCAAGGUUGAAACUCAAAUGAAUUGACGGGG
RNAcentral lists this ribosomal RNA (396 nucleotides) under uncultured bacterium. RNAcentral's name for it is "partial 16S ribosomal RNA". It matches the Rfam family "Bacterial small subunit ribosomal RNA", at positions 523 to 918 of the family's 1533-position model. The record is from RNAcentral.